This 739-nucleotide ribosomal RNA is filed under the name Microvirga sp. RNAcentral describes it as "bacterial SSU rRNA". It matches the Rfam family "Bacterial small subunit ribosomal RNA", at positions 82 to 858 of the family's 1533-position model. The record is from RNAcentral. Lineage: Bacteria; Pseudomonadati; Pseudomonadota; Alphaproteobacteria; Hyphomicrobiales; Methylobacteriaceae.
UCCUUCGGGGUGAGUGGCAGACGGGUGAGUAACGCGUGGGAACGUGCCCUUCAGUUCGGAAUAACCCAGGGAAACUUGGGCUAAUACCGGAUACGUGCGAGAGCAGAAAGAUUUAUCGCUGAAGGAUCGGCCCGCGUCUGAUUAGCUGGUUGGUGGGGUAAUGGCCCACCAAGGCGACGAUCAGUAGCUGGUCUGAGAGGAUGAUCAGCCACAUUGGGACUGAGACACGGCCCAAACUCCUACGGGAGGCAGCAGUGGGGAAUAUUGGACAAUGGGCGCAAGCCUGAUCCAGCCAUGCCGCGUGAGUGAUGAAGGCCUUAGGGUUGUAAAGCUCUUUCGUCCGGGACGAUAAUGACGGUACCGGAAGAAGAAGCCCCGGCUAACUUCGUGCCAGCAGCCGCGGUAAUACGAAGGGGGCUAGCGUUGUUCGGAAUCACUGGGCGUAAAGGGCGCGUAGGCGGCUUUGUAAGUCGGGGGUGAAAGCCUGUGGCUCAACCACAGAAUUGCCUUCGAUACUGCAUGGCUUGAGACCGGAAGAGGUUAGUGGAACUGCGAGUGUAGAGGUGAAAUUCGUAGAUAUUCGCAAGAACACCAGUGGCGAAGGCGGCUGACUGGUCCGGUUCUGACGCUGAGGCGCGAAAGCGUGGGGAGCAACAGGAUUAGAUACCCUGGUAGUCCACGCCGUAAACGAUGAAUGCCAGCCGUUGGCGAGCUUGCUCGUCAGUGGCGCAGCUAACGC